GCAUUCAUUGGAAUGUGGCUAAAAUAAAAUCAUGAUCCAAUAGCUCGUCACAUAUCCUUCUUCUUAUUCUUUUUCAACAUCUUGUCAAUCUUCUACUAUUUUGAAUCCUUGCUGGAAAAAAUCUAUGGAUCCAAAUUAUGGAUGGUGGCUCUUGCUGGAAUGUCUCUAGGAGAUUUUCUAUUAUUAAAAGCCACCAGCAUAGAUGAAAUACUGUGCCUAUCUCUAUUAAUGAUCUUCCUGACUGAGGUGGUCCUUCUAAACUCGAAUUCUCCUCCAUCGGUCGUAUAGUCAGAUCUCAAUUCAUAGCACGGCGGUAAAUCAUUCUUUAUACCUAACUAUCUCCUUCAGUCGGUACU
This 356-nucleotide long non-coding RNA is filed under the name Elaeis guineensis (African oil palm). RNAcentral's name for it is "long non-coding RNA (EGUI_LNC029477)". Lineage: Eukaryota; Viridiplantae; Streptophyta; Magnoliopsida; Arecales; Arecaceae. The record is from RNAcentral.